RNAcentral lists this ribosomal RNA (499 nucleotides) under uncultured bacterium. RNAcentral's name for it is "partial 16S ribosomal RNA". It matches the Rfam family "Bacterial small subunit ribosomal RNA", at positions 28 to 507 of the family's 1533-position model. The record is from RNAcentral.
GAUGAACGCUGGCGGCGUGCCUAAUACAUGCAAGUCGAGCGAACAGACGAGAUUUCUUUCACUCUCUGCCGUUAGCGGCGGACGGGAGAGUAACACGUCGGUAACCUACCUAUCAGCCUGGGAUAACUUCGGGCAACCGGACCUAAUCCCAUAUAAUAUUUGACUUCGCAUGACGCAAUAGUGAAAGACGCUUCUGCUGUCUCUUAUAGAUUGACCCGCGGUGGAUUAGCUAGUUGGUGGGGUAACGGCUCACCAAGGCAACGAUGCAUAGCCGACCUGAGAGGGUGAGCGGCCACACUGGGACUGAGACACGGCCCAGACUCCGACGGGAGGCAGCAGUAGGGAAUCUUCAGAAAGGGACGAAAGUCGGACGGAGCAAUGCCGCGGGAGUGAAGAAGGUGUUCGGAUCGUAAAACUCUGUUGUAAGGGAAGAACAAGAACGUUAGUAACUGAACGUACCUUGACGGUACCUGAACAGAAAGCCACGGCUAACUACGUG